AAAGNAAGAGGGGAAAGCCCGGGGUUCAACCUCGGAAUUGCAUUUGAAACUGGCAAACUAGAGUACUGUAGAGGGGGGUAGAAUUUCAGGUGUAGCGGUGAAAUGCGUAGAGAUCUGAAGGAAUACCGGUGGCGAAGGCGGCCCCCUGGACAGAUACUGACACUCAGAUGCGAAAGCGUGGGGAGCAAACAGGAUUAGAUACCCUGGUAGUCCACGCCGUAAACGAUGUCUACUUGGAGGUUGUGGCCUUGAGCCGUGGCUUUCGGAGCUAACGCGUUAAGUAGACCGCCUGGGGAGUACGGUCGCAAGAUUAAAACUCAAAUGAAUUGACGGGGGCCCGCACAAGCGGUGGAGCAUGUGGUUUAAUUCGAUGCAACGCGAAGAACCUUACCUACUCUUGACAUCUACAGAAGCCAGCGGAGACGCAGGUGUGCCUUCGGGAACUGUAAGACAGGUGCUGCAUGGCUGUCGUCAGCUCGUGUUGUGAAAUGUUGGGUUAAGUCCCGCAACGAGCGCAACCCUUAUCCUUGUUUGCCAGCACUUCGGGUGGGAACUCCAGGGAGACUGCCGGUGAUAAACCGGAGGAAGGUGGGGACGACGUCAAGUCAUCAUGGCCCUUACGAGUAGGGCUACACACGUGCUACAAUGGCGCAUACAGAGGGCGGCCAACUUGCGAAAGUGAGCGAAUCCCAAAAAGUGCGUCGUAGUCCGGAUUGGAGUCUGCAACUCGACUCCAUGAAGUCGGAAUCGCUAGUAAUCGUGGAUCAGAAUGCCACGGUGAAUACGUUCCCGGGCCUUGUACACACCGCCCGUCACACCAUGGGAGUGGGCUGCAAAAGAAGUGGGUAGUUUAACCUUCGGGAGGACGCUCACCACUUUGUGGUUCAUGACUGGGGUGAAGUCGUAACAAGGUAACCG
RNAcentral lists this ribosomal RNA (918 nucleotides) under uncultured bacterium. RNAcentral describes it as "bacterial SSU rRNA". It matches the Rfam family "Bacterial small subunit ribosomal RNA", at positions 584 to 1502 of the family's 1533-position model. The record is from RNAcentral.